GAUUUAAGUCAGAAAAGUUGAAAGAAUUUUUGCCCAAUGUAUUCUCGUUAGGGUGACGGUGCAUAUGUAUAAAAGGGGAAUCCUUUUCGAUUUUUCUAAUGUUUGUAUAUUUUCUACUUGGUACUUGUCUUGUAACAGAUGGAAUAUCUUCUUCAUAAUCAAAAAUACUACUUUCACAGGAAGAUACUGGGAGGAUCUCUUUCUUACUAUUCUCUUUAUGAGAAUUUUCUGAAUGAACAGUACUGCUUAAAGAUCCAGGGUAUUUCAUAGAAUAAGUGCUUUCGUUUGUAAAAGAAGUGACUGAGUUAUCUAGACCUUUUUCUG
This 324-nucleotide long non-coding RNA is filed under the name Homo sapiens (human). RNAcentral's name for it is "HSALNT0111535". The record is from RNAcentral. Lineage: Eukaryota; Metazoa; Chordata; Mammalia; Primates; Hominidae.